CGCGUAGGCGGCUUGGUCAGUCGGAGGUGAAAGCCCGCAGCUCAACUGCGGAACUGCCCCCGAUACUGCCAAGCUUGAGUCCGGGAGGGGUAAUCGGAACUCCAGGUGUAGCGGUGAAAUGCGUAGAUAUCUGGAGGAACACCAGAGGCGAAGGCGGAUUACUGGACCGGUACUGACGCUAAGGCGCGAAAGCUAGGGGAGCAAACAGGAUUAGAUACCCUGGUAGUCC
Molecule: ribosomal RNA, 229 nt
Filed under: uncultured bacterium
Lineage: Bacteria
Description: partial 16S ribosomal RNA
Rfam family: Bacterial small subunit ribosomal RNA
Source: RNAcentral